UGAGGAAUAUUGGGCAAUGCCCGCAAGGGUGACCCAGCAACGCCGUGUGGAGGAUGAAAGCCGUAAGGUUGUAAACUCCUGUGAGGAGGGAUGAAUGAUAUGAUUUCGUAAGGGAUCAUAUUUGACCGUACCUCCAGAGGAAGCCCCGGCUAACUACGUGCC
This 162-nucleotide ribosomal RNA is filed under the name uncultured bacterium. Its description in RNAcentral is "partial 16S ribosomal RNA". It matches the Rfam family "Bacterial small subunit ribosomal RNA", at positions 355 to 509 of the family's 1533-position model. The record is from RNAcentral.